This 449-nucleotide ribosomal RNA is filed under the name uncultured bacterium. RNAcentral's name for it is "bacterial SSU rRNA". It matches the Rfam family "Bacterial small subunit ribosomal RNA", at positions 355 to 825 of the family's 1533-position model. The record is from RNAcentral.
UGGGGAAUCUUGCGCAAUGGGCGAAAGCCUGACGCAGCAACGCCGCGUGCGGGAUGAAGGCCUUCGGGUUGUAAACCGCUUUCAGUGGGGACGAACCAAGACGGUACCCACAGAAGAAGCCCCGGCCAACUACGUGCCAGCAGCCGCGGUAACACGUAGGGGGCAAGCGUUGUCCGGAUUCAUUGGGCGUAAAGAGCUCGUAGGCGGUUCGAUAAGUCGGGUGUGAAACCUCCAGGCUCAACCUGGAGACGCCACCCGAUACUGUCGUGACUAGAGUCCAGUAGGGGAGCGUGGAAUUCCUGGUGUAGCGGUGAAAUGCGCAGAUAUCAGGAGGAACACCAGCGGCGAAGGCGGCGCUCUGGGCUGGAACUGACGCUGAGGAGCGAAAGCGUGGGGAGCGAACAGGAUUAGAUACCCCGGUAGUCCCUGAGCGGGCUGGCAAGGCGCAU